RNAcentral lists this ribosomal RNA (680 nucleotides) under uncultured bacterium. RNAcentral's name for it is "bacterial SSU rRNA". It matches the Rfam family "Bacterial small subunit ribosomal RNA", at positions 100 to 828 of the family's 1533-position model. The record is from RNAcentral.
GACGGGUGAGUACACGUGGGAAUGUGCCCUUCUGUUGAGGAUAGCCCCGGGAAACUGGGAGUAAUACUCGAUACGCCCUUAGGGGGAAGGAAGGAUCAGCCCGCGUCUGAUUAGGUAGUUGGUGGGGUAAUGGCCUACCAAGCCUACGAUCAGUAGCUGGUUUUAGAGGAUGAUCAGCCACACUGGGACUGAGACACGGCCCAGACUCCUACGGGAGGCAGCAGUGAGGAAUCUUAGACAAUGGGCGCAAGCCUGAUCUAGCCAUGCCGCGUGAGUGAUGAAGGCCUUAGGGUCGUAAAGCUCUUUCGCCAGGGAUGAUAAUGACAGUACCUGGUAAAGAAACCCCGGCUAACUCCGUGCCAGCAGCCGCGGUAAUACGGAGGGGGUUAGCGUUGUUCGGAAUUACUGGGCGUAAAGCGCGCGUAGGCGGACUGGAAAGUUGGGGGUGAAAUCCCAGGGCUCAACCCUGGAACUGCCUCCAAAACUAUCAGUCUAGAGUUCGAGAGAGGUGAGUGGGAUUCCGAGUGUAGAGGUGAAAUUCGUAGAUAUUCGGAGGAACACCAGUGGCGAAGGCGGCUCACUGGCUCGAUACUGACGCUGAGGUGCGAAAGUGUGGGGAGCAAACAGGAUUAGAUACCCUGGUAGUCCACACCGUAAACGAUGAAUGCCAGUCGUCGGGU